AUUGAACGCUGGCGGCAGGCCUAACACAUGCAAGUCGAGCGGAUGAAGGGAGCUUGCUCCUGGAUUCAGCGGCGGACGGGUGAGUAAUGCCUAGGAAUCUGCCUGGUAGUGGGGGAUAACGUCCGGAAACGGGCGCUAAUACCGCAUACGUCCUGAGGGAGAAAGUGGGGGAUCUUCGGACCUCACGCUAUCAGAUGAGCCUAGGUCGGAUUAGCUAGUUGGUGGGGUAAAGGCCUACCAAGGCGACGAUCCGUAACUGGUCUGAGAGGAUGAUCAGUCACACUGGAACUGAGACACGGUCCAGACUCCUACGGGAGGCAGCAGUGGGGAAUUGUGGACAAUGGGCGAAAGCCUGAUCCAGCCAUGCCGCGUGUGUGAAGAAGGUCUUCGGAUUUUAAAGCACUUUAAGUUGGGAGGAAGGGCAGUAAGUUAAUACCUUGCUGUUUUGACGUUACCAACAGAAUAAGCACCGGCUAACUUCGUG
Molecule: ribosomal RNA, 484 nt
Filed under: uncultured bacterium
Lineage: Bacteria
Description: partial 16S ribosomal RNA
Rfam family: Bacterial small subunit ribosomal RNA
Source: RNAcentral